This 417-nucleotide long non-coding RNA is filed under the name Medicago truncatula (barrel medic). RNAcentral's name for it is "long non-coding RNA (MTRU_LNC006616)". The record is from RNAcentral. Lineage: Eukaryota; Viridiplantae; Streptophyta; Magnoliopsida; Fabales; Fabaceae.
ACCCUGCAAAUGAUUCAUAUCCAGACAAUCAAGCUGUUAAUAAUGAUGACGACGAUAUUCUAGCAAUGCUUGAUAUUUUCAAAGGCAAUGGCGUAUUGCCUGCACCCGACCCUGCAAAUGAUUCAUAUCCAGACAAUCAAGCUGUUAAUAAUGAUGAUGAUAUUCUAGCAAUGCUUGAUAUUUUUGAAGAGAACGGCAUAUUGCCUGAGGUAUGCUAAUCUGUUUUUUCUUCCUUCUACUUAUGUUUUUCUGGAAACAGUGAAGUUUUUUUAUGUCUGGUUUUAGUGUUCUCUAUAUUUGUAGACUUGUUGUUUUAUCUAUCCCAUGCAGUUUGCAUUGUCUCCUCAUAAUGUUAAUGCCAUUUUACUAAAUCAUAGGGAUUUAUAUAGUCCUUGAUUUCUUGAAGGGAUAACUAAG